AUGGUUCUGCCAAACAGCAACAUACAUUUAUAGUAGUAAGACUCUGUUUUCAGGUGAAAAUCUUAAGUUGAUUUGGGUUCUGAAUGACCUCUAUCUGGGUGCCCUAGGGUUCUAUAUCUCCAGUAAUAAUCAAAUAUUUUUUAACUGAAGAGAUUAUCAAAUAUCGGUCUACCUUUAUGGGCACAUGAUAGUAUCCUUCUUGGCUAUAUUUAUUGGUUUUCAUUGUGAAGUUUAGCUUAGUUUAUGGUGAUUUACCUUUUUUGAUUGGUUAUUGUGUACUAGGUUGAAGUACUGUGGAGCAAGGGGGUUAAGAAAUUGCCUCCGCUUCCUCCUCUGCCUGUGAAAGGCCGGAAUCUCUCAAAAGGAGAACUAUCAGACAAGUCGGUGGGCAUAUGAUAAAACAAGAAGUUUCUCUAGUAUUGACUUUCUAAUAUGUUGUUUUCUUAUCUAUUUCUUGUCCACUUCAUGUAUAGUGUUGGAAUGGUGUAGCAGAAAGACAUGAAGUGCUUGCUGAAAAGCACAAACGAGGUGCAGCAACAAGACGUCCGAGAACAAAGAAGAAAUCUAAGAUGACAUGGUCUAAAAAUGGAGGUAUGCGUAGGGUUUGUGUUUGGGGUUUUCUUUUUCUAAAGCAUUAACCUACCGUGUCACAUUUCAUCCACGAUGUUGACAUAUGCAUAGUGUCGUAAUCCUUCCCAUCAACUGUGAUGCCUGCACAAUAUCAGGGGCUUAUUCAAAACAGUGGAACCAGUUAUGGCCAUGCAAAUCCUAGCUACAACUUCGAAGGGAGUAAUUCGAGCCACAUACCAGAAAUGAUUAACAUUGACAGACCAUUACACCGAAUUCCUCAAAGAAUGGAGACAUAGGGACCAUCAUCGUUGAGAUGUCAUAUCUGGGAUAUGAAAGAUGGGUUAUUUCCUGUCAUCCAAACGAUGCUGAUAAAGAGUAGCAAGAUGCCUUGCAACCAAUUGAUGCGCUAAUUUGGUUGUAAGUAAUCCAGUUAUUACUCCAGUUGGUGAUUUUCUCUCUUGGUUGAUCCACGUUAAUCAUUUAUGAGAUGCUUCAAUCAUAUUCAUCCGUCAAAGGCUCACCGGGUCAGGAGAAGGACAUGAUAGCAGUAGCCUCUCAAAUUGGAUUUUAUUGAUCAUGUAUCAAUGAUUGCGAUGCGACAUUGAUGGUGAGAAGCAAACAGCCACAAUUGUAUUGAUAGUUUGACCAAUUCUCAUGCAAAAACAAAUAGCAUAGUCCUUUCCCGCAAAUUGCAAGACCUAUCUACAAGAUUGCUUCCAUCUUGGAAAUUGGUGCCAGCAAUGCUUGUUAACCAUGACCCUUCUGCAUAAACAUUUUGUUCUCAUGUUGGUAAC
Molecule: long non-coding RNA, 1364 nt
Filed under: Populus trichocarpa (black cottonwood)
Lineage: Eukaryota; Viridiplantae; Streptophyta; Magnoliopsida; Malpighiales; Salicaceae
Description: long non-coding RNA (PTRI_LNC001949)
Source: RNAcentral